Molecule: ribosomal RNA, 262 nt
Filed under: Escherichia coli
Lineage: Bacteria; Pseudomonadati; Pseudomonadota; Gammaproteobacteria; Enterobacterales; Enterobacteriaceae
Description: partial 16S ribosomal RNA
Rfam family: Bacterial small subunit ribosomal RNA
Source: RNAcentral
AAAUUGAAGAGUUUGAUCAUGGCUCAGAUUGAACGCUGGCGGCAGGCCUAACACAUGCAAGUCGAACGGUAACAGGAAACAGCUUGCUGUUUCGCUGACGAGUGGCGGACGGGUGAGUAAUGUCUGGGAAACUGCCUGAUGGAGGGGGAUAACUACUGGAAACGGUAGCUAAUACCGCAUAAUGUCGCAAGACCAAAGAGGGGGACCUUCGGGCCUCUUGCCAUCGGAUGUGCCCAGAUGGGAUUAGCUUGUUGGUGGGGUA